AGAGGUAGGCGGAAAUUUCGUGGGUGUAGCGGUGAAAUGUUUAGAUAUCACGAAAGAACUCCGAUUGCGAAGGCAGCUUACUGGAUUGUAACUGACGCUGAUGCUCGAAAGUGUGGGUAUCAAACAGGAUUAGAUACCCUGGUAGUCCACACAGUAAACGAUGAAUACUCGCUGUUGGCGAUAUACAGUCAGCGGCCAAGCGAAAGCAUUAAGUAUUCCACCUGGGGAGUACGCCGGCAACGGUGAAACUCAAAGGAAUUGACGGGGGCCCGCACAAGCGGAGGAACAUGUGGUUUAAUUCGAUGAUACGCGAGGAACCUUACCCGGGCUUAAAUUGCAACUGACGGAAUCGGAAACGGUUCUUUCUUCGGACAGUUGUGAAGGUGCUGCAUGGUUGUCGUCAGCUCGUGCCGUGAGGUGUCGGCUUAAGUGCCAUAACGAGCGCAACCCUUAUCGAUAGUUACUAGCAGGUUAUGCUGAGGACUCUAUCGAGACUGCCGUCGUAAGAUGUGAGGAAGGUGGGGAUGACGUCAAAUCAGCACGGCCCUUACGUCCGGGGCUACACACGUGUUACAAUGGGGGGUACAGAAGGCAGCUACACGGCGACGUGGUGCUAAUCCCGAAAGCCUCUCUCAGUUCGGAUUGGAGUCUGCAACCCGACUCCAUGAAGCUGGAUUCGCUAGUAAUCGCGCAUCAGCCACGGCGCGGUGAAUACGUUCCCGGGCCUUGUACACACCGCCCGUCAAGCCAUGAAAGCCGGGGGUACCUGAAGUACGUAACCGCGAGGAGCGUCCUAGGGUAAAACUGGUG
RNAcentral lists this ribosomal RNA (810 nucleotides) under uncultured organism. RNAcentral's name for it is "SSU rRNA". It matches the Rfam family "Bacterial small subunit ribosomal RNA", at positions 653 to 1473 of the family's 1533-position model. The record is from RNAcentral.